RNAcentral lists this ribosomal RNA (407 nucleotides) under uncultured bacterium. RNAcentral describes it as "bacterial SSU rRNA". It matches the Rfam family "Bacterial small subunit ribosomal RNA", at positions 355 to 776 of the family's 1533-position model. The record is from RNAcentral. RNAcentral also lists the same sequence under 1 other name.
UGGGGAAUAUUGGACAAUGGACCAAAAGUCUGAUCCAGCAAUUCUGUGUGCACGAUGACGGUCUUAGGAUUGUAAAGUGCUUUCAAUCGGGAAAAAGAAAGUGAUGGUACCGAUAGAAGAAGCGACGGCUAAAUACGUGCCAGCAGCCGCGGUAAUACGUAUGUCGCAAGCGUUAUCCGGAUUUAUUGGGCGUAAAGCGCGUCUAGGCGGUCUGGUAAGUCUGAUGUGGAAAUGCGGGGCUCAACUCCGUAUUGCGUUGGAAACUGCCAGACUAGAGUACUGGAGAGGUGGGCGGAACUACAAGUGUAGAGGUGAAAUUCGUAGAUAUUUGUAGGAAUGCCGAUAGAGAAGUCAGCUCACUGGACAGAUACUGACGCUGAAGCGCGAAAGCAUGGGGAGCAAACAGG